UCCUGCUGUUUUUAUUUUUAUUUUUUAAAAAAUCCCAAGUAGCAAUGAUGCUAGCAGAACAACAUGACAACAUUGUCACAAUCAGAUAUUUUUCCUAACAGUUGCAUAGAUGCCUCAGAGAGCCUGUGUGUGAGAGAGACGGGGAGAGACAGAAGAUGGGCUUCUUUGACAGAAUGAUAUGAAAAUUCACCCUGCUGAUAAAAGGAGGAGAAUCAAGCCAGACAAUCUCUUUCCAAGGCUAUGAAACUGAUUAAGGUCAAAAUCAUUGAUAAAGCUGUAAUAAUCUCUUCUGCCUUAGGCCAUUGAGCUUCCUGAUUUCCCAGAAUUCUACUCGUCAGGGACCAUAACAAGAAUAAAUCCAAGCAUUUGGCACA
Long non-coding RNA from Pantherophis guttatus, 374 nucleotides. RefSeq lists it as uncharacterized. Lineage: Eukaryota; Metazoa; Chordata; Lepidosauria; Squamata; Colubridae. The record is from RefSeq and is a predicted model, not a curated record.